UCUCUCAAAUAAAAUCUUUUAAAAAAUUAAAAAUAACUUUAAAAAGGUAGAAGUUCUGUGGCUCUAUUGAAACACAAGUCAUGCUUCCAUCACAGCAGGUUUAUUGCAGUGGUGACAAUGAGACUUGUAACAUUU
Small nucleolar RNA from Ailuropoda melanoleuca (giant panda), 135 nucleotides. The record is from Ensembl. NCBI's taxonomy places the organism in Eukaryota, Metazoa, Chordata, Mammalia, Carnivora, Ursidae.